GCCCCCUUCCUCCCUCGUCCUCCUCCACCGCCGCCGCCGCCCCCUUCCCGAUCUAGAUUCCUCCUCCGCCGCCCCUCACUACCACCACCCAGUCACCCACCGCAGCAGAUCAAGCGAGCCGCCCAACCUCACCGGCCUCCUCCGUCUCUUCCGGUCAGAUCCGACGAGCACAUCUUCCUGUAGCCACGAGCGACCACCCCGGCCUCCACUUCACCGCCGGCAUCCUUUCCCCUCCCUCUCCGUAGAUCCUUUUGAGCAGCCACCUCGAGGGCGGCGCCGCCACCAGCGGGAGGGGGAGGGCGCCGCCACCAGCCACGGCGGAGAGGUGGAGCCCUGGCUCCCUCCUCGACGACUCCUCCAAUAUCCGGCUCCUUCGACGACAUCCCGCGCGGGAUCUCCACUGACUCCACCUCUGUCAACUGCCUCCUCGGCCUCGAGGAUGACAAUGCCUCGCAGCACUCGCGUAGUGGGAUGCCCAACUCCGGCUCGGCCGAGGACCAGCGGGCCAGCCAGAAGAAGCUCGCGGCCGCCGCCACGAGUUACCAGCAAGGCGCGCAGUCCGUGCCCGACUCUUCGAUGCUGGACAAGAACUCCUCCUUCGGCUCCACGUCCUUGGUGCCGUCCCUGUCGAAUCUGCCACCGAUUUAGGUGCUUAUACUAAUCCAAUCAUCUGGUUUUUCUCUUGGUGAUAAGAAGAUGAUUCGCAAGAUGACAUGGGGCGGACCCUGGCCAUAAUCAUAGGCAUCUUGGCAGGGCUGGCCCUCAUCGUGGUGUUCCUCUCCUUCCUCGGGAAAUCAACUAUGAAUGCAGGUUAAGGUUGCCUCUUGGAAGAAGCUUCAGUUAUCGAUCGCAUACUGGCACCAGGCCAAACGACCUGUGGAAGGGAGAAAGAUCCACGCUGGCAUGGUAUCAGCAUGGCACAGUGAAGCUUCACAAAGGUCCUAAUCUCACCUUGUUAGAAGCAGUAGCUUAUGCCAAUGGCAAUGUGGAGAAGGAAGAUCUGUCCUUGGUUUUGCUCUAUUGGUGAAGCGUCCUCACUGCUAUUCUGCAGUAGAAUCUGAGAUGCAGCUCCAACGCCUCAAAAUCCAGCAGAAAAAGGUUUGGUUUUGCUCCUCCUACUCCUACUCUAGCUAGUUGUACAUUUCUGCUACCUGCACUUUGCAUUCCUGCCACCCAUGGAUGCCUAACGGAAUCACAACCUCAACCAAAAAGAAAAAAUAUUACCAAUCUAGUUUGCUGCAAAUACAGUUGGGGAUUCAGUUGUUGACUUGUGUAAUCGUGGCAUACACUGGCACGACUUUGUUUGCAUCAUCAUGUACAGGACCCUGCCGUGUUUGCGAUGCAUCCACCAACACUGGGCCGAUUCUGGUACAGUUGAACUGUCUCCCCUCUCUACUCAUCCAUGGAACCAUGUUCAUGUGUUUCAUUCUGACCGUGAUAUAAGACACAAUGUAGGCAGCAUGUAAGCUAGAUUGUUGUUUCUUCUUAUUCCUAAAAUUUGAGAAUUGAACAACUUCUCAGGCUUCUACCUUGGAAGCAGCCUAUGUGUGUGUAUUAGGCUUUCUAGGUGUGGUCCUGUGUGCUACUUUGGAAUUUUCUUUUUGGUCAAUACUAUUUUGCCAUCGAAUCAGCCAAUACUGUUUCACUUUACUUGUUUCUUCUUAUUCCUAAAAUUUGAGAAUUGAACAACUUCUCAGGCUUCUACCUUGGAAGCAACUUACGUGUGUGUAUCAGGCUUUCUAGGUGUGGUCAUGUGUGCUACUUUGGAAUUUUCUUUUUUGUCAAUACUGUUUUGCCAUCGAAUCAGUCAAUAUUGUUUCACUUUGCUUGUUUCUCGUACUAGGUCUGUCAGCUACAACAUAAACAAACAAAUUGCUUAGCUCUCAACUCUGAAUACAUAGCUAGCUGAACCUGUUCUUUCUUUCUUUCUUUCUUCACAGCUAUGACUUAUAUGGGUCAAGCUGUUGCUUUGCUGCGCUCGAUGAUAUUGUUGCUGCCUGUAUACUGUUAUAUGUGGUGAUAUCUAACAGAACUGAUGUUGUGAAUGUACCAUAUUGUCUUGCUGCUACUUAUCUUGGGCUCACCUUCCCUUUAAUUAAGUGUGCGCGACCCUGCUAGCUAUAUGAAAAACGUGUCAGGAAUGAUAACAAUUUGAUAAUCUAGAAUGAAAUUUGCAAUUCAAUAUUCCCUUGAGAUUGAGACACCUCAGUUUCAUAGUAUGCUUGCUCCUCUAGUGUUCAUAGCUUAGUGUUUUGUUUCGGGGUUUCUUAAUGUUCUUGUGCUUUAAAGAACAAUACUUAAUUUUUUUAAUCAUGCAGGUGUUACUUUUGAUGAAAAAUGUGUGGAUCAUCCACCUCAGCGACGCUAUCCCAAUCAGAUCAUCGUCGACACUAUCAUCAUCAGGUCUUGGUUCUCUUUAUUCUCUCCUGCCUUGUGAUGUUAGUCUGUGUGGGCCUACUACUAUUGUUAGAUGCCAUCUUGAAUGGAUGGUCUAUUGUACUUUUCUUUGGGUGAAUUUGUUACAGUGACAUUCAUUGCAUGACCUGCACCUGUACCAAUAUACGAUGCUGGCACCUAUAGGUUAGUAUUGUUAGUGCCUAACAUGAGCUUGAGUGUUGGAGUGGAAGUGUAGAACAACAACAGGUUAACGUGUUUUAUUUACCCUUUCUAGUAUUUGUACAAACUAAUGCAUUCCGGGCAUAAACAAAAUAUUAUACAAGAUAUGUAAAAGCAAACAUUUGACUAUGCAACUAUAAGAUCUGUUUUAUUUGCCCUCUCUAGUAUUUUAUAACGGGAAAGCUGAAGCUGGAACAUACUAGUUGGUAGAUCUGCUUGCUGCUUACAUUAGUGUUGCCAUUGCAUUUGUUUGGUUCUGCCUUGAACAACAGUUCACAAAUGCUAGUAGCCUUUGUGUUCACUCUUUUACAGGAGCGUCUGGACAAAUUUGAAGUGCGAAGCCAUGAAGCCAAGUGCAAAGCCUUGAUGAUGCCUUACUUGCCAGAGAAUUGUUUGUUCUGUUUGAUUGUAAUAGACUGUAGAGAUUGUGACAUUGUAACAGAUUUACUAUUAUUUGAUAAAUUAUGUUUAUUCUGUUAUAUUUGAAAUAGUGAUUUAAAAAUGUGUGACAUAGAAA
This is an RNA transcript of Triticum dicoccoides, 3133 nucleotides long. RefSeq lists it as uncharacterized. Lineage: Eukaryota; Viridiplantae; Streptophyta; Magnoliopsida; Poales; Poaceae. The record is from RefSeq and is a predicted model, not a curated record. The transcript is spliced from 3 exons.